This 465-nucleotide ribosomal RNA is filed under the name uncultured bacterium. RNAcentral's name for it is "partial 16S ribosomal RNA". It matches the Rfam family "Bacterial small subunit ribosomal RNA", at positions 338 to 795 of the family's 1533-position model. The record is from RNAcentral.
CCUACGGGAGGCUGCAGUGGGGAAUAUUGCGCAAUGGGCGAAAGCCUGACGCAGCGACGCCGCGUGAGGGAUGAAGAUCUUCGGAUCGUACACCUCUGUCAGCAGGGAAGAACGGUCACUUUGCUAAUCAGCAGUGAAUUGACGGUACCUGCAAAGGAAGCACCGGCUAACUCCGUGCCAGCAGCCGCGGUAAUACGGAGGGUGCGAGCGUUAAUCGGAAGUACUGGGCGUAAAGCGCUCGUAGGCGGUAUGUCAAGUCAAGGGGGACAUCCCCGCGCUCAACGUGGGAACUGCCUUUGAAACUGGCAAACUCGAGUGUGUGAGCGGAGAGUGGAAUUCCAGGUGUAGGAGUGAAAUCCGUAGAUAUCUGGAGGAACAUCAGUGGCGAAGGCGACUAUCUGGCACAUAACUGACGCUGCGGGGCGAAAGCGUGGGUAGCAAACAGGAUUAGAUACCCCUGUAGUC